This 1405-nucleotide ribosomal RNA is filed under the name uncultured eukaryote. RNAcentral's name for it is "partial small subunit ribosomal RNA". It matches the Rfam family "Eukaryotic small subunit ribosomal RNA", at positions 33 to 1472 of the family's 1831-position model. The record is from RNAcentral.
UAUUUCAAAGAUUAAGCCAUGCAUGUCUAAGCAUGAGCUAAAUCAAAGUGAAGCCGCGAAUAGCUCAUUACAAUAGCCGUUGUUUCUUGGAUCCUAACUUUACUUGGAUACCUGUGGUAAUUCUAGAGCUAAUACAUUGCGACUAAGAGCCGACCUCACGGGACGCUUGCAUUUAUUAAAUCAAGACUAACCGGCUUCGGCCGUUACUUGGUGACUCUGAAUAACUGAGCUGAUCGCACGGUCUAGUGCCGGCGACAUAUCUUUCAAGUGUCUACCUUAUCAACUUUCGAUGUUAGUUUAUGUGACUACCAUGGUUGUAACGGAUAACGGAGAAUAAGGGUUCGACUCCGGAGAGGGAGCCUGAGAAACGGCUACCACUUCUAAGGAAGGCAGCAGGCGCGCAACUUACCCAAUCUCAGUACGAGGAGGUAGUGACGAAAAAUAACGAGACAAGGCUCUUUGAGUUUUGUCAUCGGAAUGAGAACGUUUUAAAAGAUCUAUCGAGGAUCUAACAGAGGGCAAGUCUGGUGCCAGCAGCCGCGGUAAUUCCAGCUCUGCUAGUGUAUAUCUAUGCUGCUGCGGUUAAAAAGCUCGUAGUUGGAUCUGCGUGCCAAGGCCUGGUCCGUCCGAUGGGCGUGCACUGGAGCCUGGCACUGAAUGGCUGGUUUUUCUCUUUAUGCCUUUAACCGGGUGUACUGAGUGACUAACAUGUUUACUUUGAAAAAAUUAGAGUGCUUAAAACAAGCGAUUCGCUUGAAUAUUCGUGCAUGGAAUAAUAGAAUAGGACCUUGGUUCUAUUUUGUUGGUUUUCGGAACACAAGGUAAUGAUUAAGAGGGACAGACGGGGGCAUUCAUAUUUCGACGUUAGAGGUGAAAUUCUUGGAUCGUCGAAAGAUGCACUACUGCGAAAGCAUUUGCCAAGAAUGUUUUCAUUAAUCAAGAACGAAAGUUAGAGGUUCGAAGGCGAUCAGAUACCGCCCUAGUUCUAACCGUAAACGAUGCCAACUAGCGAUCUGCUGGUGUUUAUCUAGACCCAGCAGGGAGCUUUCCGGAAACGAAAGUCUUCAGGUUCCGGGGGAAGUAUGGUUGCAAAGCUGAAACUUAAAGGAAUUGACGGAAGGGCACCACCAGGAGUGGAGCCUGCGGCUUAAUUUGACUCAACACGGGAAAACUCACCCGGCCCGGACACCGUAAGGAUUGACAGAUUGAGAGCUCUUUCUUGAUUCGGUGGGUGGUGGUGCAUGGCCGUUCUUAGUUGGUGGAUUGAUUUGUCUGGUUUAUUCCGAUAACGAACGAGACUCCAACCUACUAACUAGUAAACGCGCCCCUAGCGCGUUGUUACUUCUUAAAGGGACAGGCGGUAUUGAGCCGCACGAAAAAGAGCAAUAACAGGUCUGUGAUGCCC